AAAAAGAGGUAUCUCAAUCCAAUGGGAAUAUGGGAUCACUUACUCUGUUGACAUAGUGUGUGAUCCUUGUAAAACAUGGUGUGUGUGUGUGUGUGUGUGUGUUGAUGGUCUCACUCACAGGAUGGAUCAUUGCUUCUUUUCCCUAACACUCACAUGAUGGAUUAUUGCUUCUUUUCCCUGACACAAGCAAACCAAAUGAAAUGAGAUCUUAUUUAUUUACAAUCAAAUCAAAACAAGGAAACAAGGAAAGGUGAAAAUGGACUGCACUUUAGUUUACUUCAUUUCAUUUCAGACAAGCAAACCAAAAGAGAGCCUUAAGUGAACAUUCUUGCCAUUUGUUGACAGAUUACAAAUAUUGACAGUAAAUAAGAGUGAAAAUUGUGAAAUAAAAAUUUGUUGAAAUAAAAUAACUGUGGGAGUACUUGUUCUUCUUCCUGCUUCUUCUUCUUUUUCUUCUUAAUCUUCUACUUGUUCUUCUUCUUCUUGUUCUUCUACUUCUACUUCUACUUAUUCUUCAUCUUCACCUUGCGUAUUCAUAUCUUCAGGACAAAAUGGAUCUCCCAGACCUCAACUUCACUCCACCACCAGAAGAUGUGGACGAAAUGGAUGAAGAUGUAGAAAAUGAAAUGGAAGGAGAUGCAGAAGAUGGAAUGGAAGGAGAUGAAAUUGUUCAAAAUCCAGGUACAAUUAUAGUUGAUCAUUUCAUCUCUUCAUCAUUUGAUCAUUUCAUCACUUGAUCAUUUAAUGAUUUCUUUGUUGUAUGUCUUGGUGCAGGUGUUGGGCAAGUUGGUAGAAAAAAUAAAACCCUCAAUGACCAGCAAAAAUUUGCUGCUUAUGUAGCAUUGCAUACACUGUGUAUGAGUAGAGGAGGCACUUUUAAGAAAACUGAUACGCAAGACAUUGCAAAUUUUUUUGGAGUGGGUGUUUGGAAUAUACAAAGAAUUUGGAGGAAAGCAACGUUGCAAAUUCAACAAGGUCAAGAGGUAGAUGUUGCUGAUCAGAGAAAAGGAAAUUCUGGAAGAAAGCCUAAGGACAUUAACCUAGAAAAAAUCCUAACAAUCCCAUUAAACAGGAGGUCUACUAUUAGAUCACUAGCCUGGCAACUGAGAUGUAGCCCUACCACACUUCAUAGAAAGUUCAUGUUGAAUUUGAUUAGGAGGCAUACAAACUGUGUGAAGCCGACUUUAAAGGAAAAGAAUAAGAUGGAUAGGAUGAAUUUUUGUUUGUCGAUGCUUGAUGAGGCAACAACAGCAACUGAGAGGCCUAAGUUCAAGACUAUGCAUAACGUUGUCCAUAUUGACGAGAAGUGGUUUAACAUGACAAAGAAGAAUAGAACAUAUUAUCUGCUAGAUGGGGAGGAAGAGCCUACGAGGCCUAUACACGGCAACUGUAUUGUCAAGGUGAUGUUCUUGACGGCCGUUGCUAGGCCAAGGUGGGACAACGAAGGAAACGUGACCUUCUCUGGGAAAAUCGGUAUCUGGCCAUUCGUGAAAGAAGUUCCUGCUCAGAGGAGAAGUGACAACAGGCCCAGAGGUACAAUAGAGACAAAGUCAAUAAAGGUCGACAGAAAAGUGAUGAGGGAGUUCCUAAUAGAGAAGGUCUUGCCAGCAAUACAAGCAGUUUGGCCGGAAAAUGAUGCUGGACAGACCAUCUACAUGCAGCAGGAUAAUGCUAAGCCCCAUAUCUUGCCAGGUGACCAGGAAUUUCUAGCAGCUAUCGCAAAAACUGGACUUGACAUUAGAUUAGUACAACAGCCUGCCAACAGUCCUGAUUUGAAUGUGCUUGACCUUGGGUUUUUUAACUCGCUGCAAUCGCUGACAGAUUGUCUGAGUCCUAAAACACUACAAGACCUUAUUGCAGGUGUUUUGGAGGAAUUUGAAGGCUAUGAGGUUUACAAGCUCAACAGAAUUUUCCUAACUCUACAAAUGUGCAUGAUUGAGAUCAUGAACCAUGCGGGGGGAAAUGGGUAUAAAAUACCACAUGUUAACAAGGAAAGGCUUGAGAUGUGAAGUAUGUGUAGUUCCUUGAGAUGAGUCUUGUGCGGAGUGCAUCCCAUGUGAAAUUACUCCAUAUGUGUAAUACUCCAUUUUGUGAGACUUGUAUGUGUAAUUCCAUUUUGUGAUCAUUUUUACUCCAUGUAUUUUUUCUCCAUUUUGUGAGACUUGCAUGUGUAAUCCUUUAGUUUACAGUUUAAUUAAUUAAAGGAAAGGUUUCAGAUUAAUUAAUUAAACGAAAGGUUUUUAUAUAAUUAAUUAAUUAAAGGAAAUGUUUCAUUUUAAUUUAAAGGACAUGUUUCGUUUAAUUCUAGAGUAAAAAGACAUGUUGUUGUUGUUGCUGCUGCUACUUUUAAGUUUCAGAAGACAAGAUAAGAGAAGAGAGCAAGAAGAGAAGAGAAAUCAUUUUUGUUUCAAAAGUUUCAUUUGCUUGUGUGGAGUACUCCAUUUAAACGAGGCAGGUGCAGGUGCAGCUCUAGGCAGAUUACCUAGCUCCUAUCAAAUUCAGUUUAAACUAAAUAAAAUUCAGUAAGAAAAACACUUUUGAGGAUUGCUAACAGUCAGUCAAAUACUGAAUGCAGAAAACAAUUCCUGAGCCGUCCCAACAUUUUAAUCCUUGAGAUUUUCCUUAUAGUCACUCAAAGAUUUGCCUUGGUUUGUUAUACGAGUACUCCCUCCGUUCGGAAUUACUUGUCACAAAAAUGGAUGUAUCUAUAACUAAAAUACAUCUAGAUACAUUCAUUUUUUGGACGAGUAAUUCUGAACAGAGGGAGUAGCUUGGUGUAGGACAAGGAGUUGCAAAUUGACUUGUUGUGCAUGCAAAUAUCCAAAUUACUCAUAGCACCAAAAAGUCCUACUCCAAGAGCUUCAUGUGCUAAAAUACUGAAGCUGCAUGUGCUAUAAUUUUAGUUAUAAUUACUGCAAGCACAAGUAACAGAAAACAUAAGGACCAGCAAGUUGCUGCAAGUGGGUACAAUUAUAAACUCACUCACAGUAACAAGUUACUCCAUGACAUCAAGUCCUACAGUACUGCUGCUACAUUUGCUACUCCUGCCUAGAAGAAAACAACAACAAGUCCUACACUACUCCAUUUUAAGCACUCCUGAACAUUUUGAAACAGAUUACUCCUGUUGCAUUAACAUUUUACUCCAUUUUAAGCAGCAAGUCCUCCAAACUGAAUCACUAAAUCACUGAAUGUACUCCCACAAUAUGAGUGCUACAGAAAUACUGAAAUGGAAAUGGAAAUUAAGCACAUACUAACUGAAGCAAAUUAACCAGUCACUGAAUAUACAUUUAAGCAAUCAGUUUUGCUUAAUUUUCAACUAGUAUGUGCUUAAUUUGGGACUAAACUAAAGUAGCUUCUGAACUAAAGUAGCUUCUGAACUUAAGAACAGAGUACACUGCAAAGCUUUUUUUCAUGUUCAAGCAUCAAAGAAAUGCAAGAGGGGUUUCUGAAUAGUGGUUGCAACAACAAAAAUAAAUUCUUGACAAGGAAGGCGAUCGAAGAUCGUAGCAUGGAUGGCAUGUCUCAAUUUUCAGGAGCAGCAUUGAACCAAAUAAUUUCUGAGAAGAUUGUUUGGGCAUGAUAUCCUAACCUCUCAACUUGCAGACUCCAAAGAACAGACCAGCAUGUUUGGUUGGUAAGUUUUGAAUUAUCAGCCUGCUUGGUCGUCCAAUAAUCUAGUCCUUGUGAUCAAUGCUGAAGAUUGUUGUCGAAUAUUGGUGCCUGGUGAGAUCUUCGGGAUCUCUCUUUUGCCCGAAAAAUCAAGACCCAGAGACAGGUCAUUUGCAGCAACAAUGCUUGCAGGUAGGCAACUUCCGUGAAGCUUCUCAUUUUUGUGGUCCAGUGCUGCUAGUUACAGGAAACAUUUGUGGAAGAACAUGCAGUGCCCCCAUGUUUGGUUUUGGUAAUUGAUGACAAUCUCUAUGGACUAAUGGUUGCCUUGAGCUAUAUUUGAAGGUUUUGUCCAUAGGCUUUUCUUGGAGUCCAUUUGUUGGUUUCAAGGAGAGUUUGUGAUGACCACGGUGCUAUUAAGGAAUUAUCCAAAGUCAAAGGUUUGUCAUGUGAGUGUUGAGCUUAUUGCAAGCAUGUCUUGAAGAAUAAGAUUGUGUGAUCAUUCAUGUCCACCUUCAAGACAUCAUCCAAAUGAAGAGAGUUGGAAAGAUUCAACACACAAAGCACACAAGAUGUACCGAGGGAUCAAGUGAUCCCAUGGUAUGGUAAGCAUUGCCCAUUACGCUUUGUGUGCUAACCCAUGGUCUUCGUGAGAGUUCUUUGUGGGGUUAGGUUACGGUGUGCUAGUUCAAGUGAUGUAUCAUGAAGAGAUCAAGUGUGUGAAGCUUGCCGUCCAUUGUGGUGACAAUGGACUUGUGAAGAUGAGCGGAAGAGUGGCUCACCCAUAGUGGAGUAUGGGGGAGCAAUCAACUAGUCUUCAUCGAGCCAACGCAAUCAAGAAAGGUGGUCCAUCUUGAGGAGGAGUAGAUCGUCAUCAUCUAGCUCAAGUGGACUUUGUGCAAGGCAAAGGUUUGCCCUUGAUAGGUUUUCUAUUUUACCGGUCUCAUGGUAGUUGUGGGAGACCGGGUUAUAGGAUCGAUUGUCGUACUAUCAAGGGGGGCUCUCGAUGAGUUGCUUCAUCGUAUCGUUCGUAGAGAGCUCAAACCAUUGCAUCCUUGCAUCAUCUUUAUUGGUUCUUGUUUGGUUCUUCUCCUUGUGUGAUUUGGAGCUUUUGGUCAUUUUCAUGACAAGCUCGAGUUCAUCGAAAACGGAGUUCACAUGCAUCUUCUAUGAUGUUUUCGAUGUUGGAGGUUCUGCCGGUUCUUCUCUGUUGGAGGUUUCUCUCGUCUCUAUUUUGAUUCUACUCGUUGUCUUGUAUCCAACAAGCUUGAGUUUGCUCAAUUCGGAGCUCAUUUGCAGAAGUUAUGGCAGUUCUGGUUUUAUUGUUUCCCUCUGUUGUCUUCUCUGCAAAAUGAAGGACUCCUAGUGUUGCUGAUCUGGGGCAUGCGGUAGUACUGCUCUCCGGAGCGGUAGUACCGCAGGCCCUUGCGGUAGUACUGCAGGUGCUCACGGUAGUACCGCUCUGUGGGAGCGGUAGUACCGUGGCCUCAGGCCAGGCGCAGCUGCUCGAGCGGUUGUAGGGGCGGAUGUAAUUUUUUACAUCCGUGCCCUACGCGGUAGUACCGUGCCGCGGGCGCGGUAGUACCGUGGGCUCUGGCCAGGCUUAGCAGCAUGAGCGGAAGUAGGGGCGGAUGUAAUUUUUUACAUCCGCGCCCUACGCGGUAGUACCGCUCUUCGGGUGCGGUAGUACCGUGCCGGAGUUUUGCGCAGGUCCUCCCUCAGCGGAAGUAGGUACGGAAGUAAUUUUUUACUUCCGUGCUUUCUCUGCGCCUAGUGUUGCCUGCCUUACGGUAGUACCGUAGGGGCGCGCGGUAGUACCGCUCCGGCGGUUCUACCACUCGUUGCCCUAUGCAACAGGCCUUCAUCUGGCUAGUGCUGCGCAUGUGGUAGUACCGCAACCUGCAGCAGUAGUACUGCAGCCGACCGCGGUAGUACCGCAGCUCCGUGCGGUAGUACCGCGUCGUGCGGCUAAGUGAGGGGACAACGGUUGGAUUUUCUCCCCACCUAUAAAAGGGGGUCUUCUUAUCCAUUGAGACCCAAUCUCUUAAGCUCGUGUUCUUCCCCAUUGUUGACUUUCUUCGAGCUUGCUAACUCUCAAUUCCUCCAUGGAUUCUUGCUAGUUUGUGAGGGAAAAGAGAGAGGAGAUCUAGAUCCACGUUUCCACCAAUCACUUUCUCCUCUAAGUGAGGAGAACCCCUUGGAUCUAGAUCUUGGAGUUCUUUGUGUUCUUCUUUCGUUCUUCCUCUCAUUUUCCUCCCUAGCAUUAGUUGCUUCGGUGGGAUUUGAGAGAGAAGGACUUGGGCACUCUGUGUGCCCUUGCCAUUGCAUUUGGUGCAUCGGUUUGAGUUCUCCACGGUGAUACGUGGAAGUUACAAUUUGAGAAGCUUAUUACUCUUGGGUGCUGGGUACCCUUGAGCUUGUUCCUCUUGGGUGCUUGGGCGCCCUAGACGGUUGGUGGUGUUCGGAGCUCAAUCAUUGUGGUGUAAAGCUCUGGGCAAGCGUCGGGGUCUCCAAUUAGGUUGUGGAGAUCGCCCCGAGCAAUUUGACGGGUACCGGUGACUGCCCCCAAGGGUUGCCAAAGUGUACGGGUUCGGUGACCACCCCCAAGGGUUGCCAUCUGUACGGGUUCGGUGACCGCCCUCAAGGGUCCCUUAGUGGAUUCACGGCAUCUUGCAUUGUGCGAGGCUGUGAGGAGAUUACGGUGGCCCUAGUGGCUUCUUGGGGAGCAUUGUGCCUCCAGACCGCUCCAAACGGAGAUUAGCAUCCGCAAGGGUGUGAACUUCGGGAUACAUCGUCGUCUCCGCGUGCCUCGAUUAUCUCUUACCCGAGCUCUUUACUUAUGCACUUUACUUUGUGAUAGCCAUAUUGUUUCUUGUCAUAUAUCUUGCUAUCACCUAGUAGUUUAUGUUGCUUAGCAUAAGUUGUUGGUGCACAUAGGUGAGCCUAGUUGUUGUAGGUUUUGUGCUUGACAAAUUAACCGCUAGGUUUAUUCCGCAUUUGUUCAAGCCUAAACCGUCAUUAUUUUAAAACGCCUAUUCACCACCCCCCCCCUAGGCGACAUCCACAAUCUUUCAAUUUUGUAUGGCAUAAGAAAUUUAUUAUACCUGGAUAUAUCUGUGGCAAACUGAUUUAUUAAGUUCUGCUAGAAAACUGAUUUAUUAACAAGAAUGCAAGUGCAAUUUGCAAAACUGAUUGGUUAAAUUUCUAGGCAUGAGGAUAGUUGAAAAUUAAGCACAUACUAACUGAAAUCACUGAAUAUACUCCCACAAUAUUGGUUGUGUGAAAUACUGAAAUGGAAAUUAAGCACAUAUUAACUGAAGAAAUGUUCCAAGGAAAAAUUAUGAAGCAGAUGAUGAUACGAGGGGGCUAAUUUCAUUACUACUUGAGCAAAGAUGACUGAAAGAAUACUUAAGCAAGUGAACUGAAUUUCACUACAGAGCAGGAUGACUGGUACUUGACAUGUAGGAUGAAGCAUAGAUGCUCCGCUCGGUCUAGGAUGAAGAAGAGACCAAGGCGAAGAGGACCAGCUCGUCAGGGAUCUGCUCUGCUCUGACCUGCUCU
RNAcentral lists this long non-coding RNA (7170 nucleotides) under Triticum aestivum (bread wheat). RNAcentral describes it as "long non-coding RNA (TAES_LNC001606)". The stretch from base 2659 to 2773 matches the Rfam family "MIR1120/MIR1122 microRNA precursor family". The record is from RNAcentral. Lineage: Eukaryota; Viridiplantae; Streptophyta; Magnoliopsida; Poales; Poaceae.